UGCCGUUAGUUGCCAGCGGGUGAAGCCGGGCACUCUAACGGACUGCCUGCGAAAGCAGGAGGAAGGCGGGGACGACGUCUGGUCAUCAUGGCCCUUACGGCCUGGGCGACACACGUGCUACAAUGCCCACUACAAAGCGAGGCGACCUGGCAACAGGGAGCGAAUCGCAAAAAGGUGGGCGUAGUUCGGAUUGGGGUCUGCAACCCGACCCCAUGAAGCCGGA
Molecule: ribosomal RNA, 223 nt
Filed under: Thermus sp. env.OS_ac7'
Lineage: Bacteria; Thermotogati; Deinococcota; Deinococci; Thermales; Thermaceae
Description: partial 16S ribosomal RNA
Rfam family: Bacterial small subunit ribosomal RNA
Source: RNAcentral